GCCUUCUUGGUGUAGUGGUCAACACACUCGGCGUCUAUUCGAGAGGUUCGUGGUUCGAGUCCCAGUGAGGGCA
This 73-nucleotide transfer RNA is filed under the name Stegodyphus mimosarum. It matches the Rfam family "tRNA". From Rfam's summary of the family: Transfer RNA (tRNA) molecules are approximately 80 nucleotides in length. Their secondary structure includes four short double-helical elements and three loops (D, anti-codon, and T loops). Further hydrogen bonds mediate the characteristic L-shaped molecular structure. tRNAs have two regions of fundamental functional importance: the anti-codon, which is responsible for specific mRNA codon recognition, and the 3' end, to which the tRNAs corresponding amino acid is attached (by aminoacyl-tRNA synthetases). tRNAs cope with the degeneracy of the genetic code in two manners: having more than one tRNA (with a specific anti-codon) for a particular amino acid; and 'wobble' base-pairing, i.e. permitting non-standard base-pairing at the 3rd anti-codon position. The record is from Rfam by way of RNAcentral. Lineage: Eukaryota; Metazoa; Arthropoda; Arachnida; Araneae; Eresidae.